CAGGCUCUGACAGCAUUCCCUGCCUGUGACAGCAUUCCCAGCCUGUGACAGCAUUCCCAGGCUCUGACAGCAUUCCCAGCCCCUCUGCUGCCCCAUGCCAGCAGUGCUGAAGUGAGCAGUGAGUCACAAACCAGCUGUGCCCCAGGUGAGCCCUCCCCAGGGAAUCCUUCCUUGCCAGAGUGGGAUCAGCUGAGCUGGAAUAUCUCUGCAGGAAGAGAAACAUUUCUGAAAAGGGACCGACAGGUGACUGUUCUAACAAGCUUUUGUCAGACAGGAGUCUCCAGGCAGGUCUUACCAGACCUGAGCACCUUCCUCCCCAGGGACCUGCUCACCUCAUCCCAGAGGUGAAGUGGGAGGGAGAGACCCAGGGCUGGCCCUACACCCCGGCAGCCACCAGUGGGCUAAGGCCCUGUGGGCAGGGGACAGCUCAUCCAGGAGAGACCCCAGAGAGACACAGCCAGGGCAGAGCUCAUCCAGGAGAGACCCCACAGAGACACAGCCAGGGCAGAGCUCAUUCAGGAGAGACCCCAGAGAGACACAGCCAGGGCAGAGCUCAUCCAGGAGAGACCCCAGAGAGACACAACCAGGGCAGAGCUCAUCCCGGAGAGAUUCCAAAGAGCCUCAGCCAGGGGACAGCUCAUCCAGAAGAGACCCAAAGGAGCCACAGCCAGGGCAGAGCUCAUCCAGGAGAGAUUCCAAAGAGCCACAGCCAGGGCAGAGCUCAUCCAGGAGAGAUUCCAAAGAGCCACAGCCAGGGCAGAGCUCAUCCAGGAGAGACCCCAAGGAACCACAGCCAGGGCAGAGCUCAUUCAGGAGAGACCCCAGAGAGCCACAACCAGGGCAGAGCUCGUGGCAGUUGCAGCCAUCCCAGGAAGUGGGACCACAUCCAGCCUGAGACCUGCCACCCUGGACACUGGGAUCCACAUUCAUCCAUGGCACUGGGACCACAGUCACCCUGGACAAGGGGAUCCAGCCCACCCUGGGCACUCUGAGGGUCUCUGUGUGCUGACAUGGGAGCACAAACUCGGGGUCCAGGCUCCAGGGUGGGCUGUGCACUUGUGAGGAGGGGAAAGGAAACACUCACAGACAAACAUGGCCCCAGCCAUGCAAGGAGACACUGAGCUGCUGCUGGGGACAACAUCUGGUACCUGCUGACCUUUCCCAAGCUGUGCCUCCCACCCUGGCAAAUCGUUCUCUCUGUGCUGCCAAAACAGCCAUCAAUUAAAAAUGCAUUACCACA
This is a long non-coding RNA of Corapipo altera (White-ruffed manakin), 1240 nucleotides long. RefSeq lists it as uncharacterized. Lineage: Eukaryota; Metazoa; Chordata; Aves; Passeriformes; Pipridae. The record is from RefSeq and is a predicted model, not a curated record. The transcript is spliced from 3 exons.